AAGUCGAACGCAGUAGCAAUACUGAGUGGCAAACGGGUGAGUAUAAUGUGGGAAUCUGCCUUUUGGUUUGGAAUAACACGGGGAAACUUGUGCUAAUACCGAAUAAGCCCUUACGGGGAAAGUUUUAACGCCGAAAGAUGAGCCCGCACUUGAUUAGCUAGUUGGUAAGGUAAAAGCUUACCAAGGCAACGAUCAAUAGCUGUUCUUAGAGGAAGACCAGCCACAUUGGGACUGAGACACGGCCCAGACUCCUACGGGAGGCAGCAGUGGGGAAUCUUGCACAAUGGGGGAAACCCUGAUGCAGCGAUGCCGCGUGAGUGAAGAAGGCCCUUGGGUUGUAAAACUCUUUCGUCGGGGAAGAAAAUGACUGUACCCGAAUAAGAAGGUCCGGCUAACUUCGUGCCAGCAGCCGCGGUAAUACGAAGGGACCUAGCGUAGUUCGGAAUUACUGGGCUUAAAGAGCUCGUAGGUGGUUAAAAAAGUUGAUGGUGAAAUCCCAAGGCUCAACCUUGGAACUGCCAUCAAAACUUUUUAG
RNAcentral lists this ribosomal RNA (535 nucleotides) under uncultured marine bacterium. RNAcentral describes it as "bacterial SSU rRNA". It matches the Rfam family "Bacterial small subunit ribosomal RNA", at positions 59 to 640 of the family's 1533-position model. The record is from RNAcentral.